UACGGAGGGGGCUAGCGUUGUUCGGAAUUACUGGGCGUAAAGCGCACGUAGGCGGCUUUGUAAGUUAGAGGUGAAAGCCCGGGGCUCAACCCCGGAAUUGCCUUUAAGACUGCAUCGCUAGAAUUGUGGAGAGGUAAGUGGAAUUCCGAGUGUAGAGGUGAAAUUCGUAGAUAUUCGGAAGAACACCAGUGGCGAAGGCGACUUACUGGACACAUAUUGACGCUGAGGUGCG
Molecule: ribosomal RNA, 232 nt
Filed under: uncultured bacterium
Lineage: Bacteria
Description: partial 16S ribosomal RNA
Rfam family: Bacterial small subunit ribosomal RNA
Source: RNAcentral